Molecule: ribosomal RNA, 253 nt
Filed under: uncultured bacterium
Lineage: Bacteria
Description: partial 16S ribosomal RNA
Rfam family: Bacterial small subunit ribosomal RNA
Source: RNAcentral
UACGUAGGGUGCAAGCGUUGUCCGGAAUUAUUGGGCGUAAAGAGCUCGUAGGCGGUUUGUCGCGUCUGCUGUGAAAACUCGGGGCUUAACUCCGGGCCUGCAGUGGGUACGGGCAGACUAGAGUGCGGUAGGGGAGACUGGAAUUCCUGGUGUAGCGGUGAAAUGCGCAGAUAUCAGGAGGAACACCGGUGGCGAAGGCGGCACUCUGGGCCGGUACUGACGCUGAGGAGCGAAAGCGUGGGGAGCGAACAGG